GCGGACGGGGCGCCCGGCGGCCCUCGACCUGCGCGCCGGGGAAGGGGGAGCAGCGGGGGCGGAAGGGCGCGCGGAGGAGACGGAGGAGUCCCGGGGUGAGCAGCCUUUAGCUUCGAAUGCGUAAUCAGGACGUGUCGGGGGCGUCACUCCAAGAGGGCUUCUCCGGCCCCUCCGUUCCCGUGGCGGAUACUCCCUCCUGGCGAAGCGCCCCCGGGGCUGGAACGGGAGCUCCCCCGCGCGCACGCCCGGCCCCGCGCUCCCCGCGCCAGAGGGGGCCGGGCCCCGAAGCCCCUCUCGGAGGCCGAGCUCGGCGUGUUCUCCCCGGCGCUUUGGAGGUGUCCGGAAGGUGCGGGCCGCCUUGUGCCCGGAGGAGGGACGGGAGAGGCAGGCGCCGUUCCCUCCCGCCGCUACGCCGCCGCGCGGGCUGGUCCCGCCGUCUUCCGCGAGGGGUGUGCGCGGGAACGGCCCGGCCCUUCCCUCCAGGUACCAGCCAGUCCCCGGGCGCGCGGGCUGAGGCUCCGGGCGGGGGCGCUCGGGUCCCCGCGUUCAGGGUGCUGACCCGCGGGACACGGCCGCCAAGCCGGCGAGCUGGGCACCGGCUAUCUCCCCGCCGCUCACUCCGGCUGGCGGGCUGUGACUUUCCAUCACGGCGUCAAACAAGAGUAGCCGGACAUCCCUCCCGGCCCGGGGGUGGAGUGUGGGGAGGGCGUCAAAACUCCAAAGCGGCUCCUCCGCGGAGAACAAGCGGCCCGGAGCUGCGCCUGGCAGCCGCGCGAAGCAGGGGAGGACACACCGGGUCCCUCCGUCAGGAAAUGUUCAUUUAUGUCCGAGAUAGUCAGACAACGGCCAAGUCUCGGCAGUGGCGGCGGCGGCCCCAGAGUUUGGGGGGGAAAUCCUGGAGGAUGGAGAGCCCAGGACACCGGCUUCGCGGGGUCCCCUCCCCACCCCCGUCUGCCGCCACUUACGCGAAGGAAAAACCACCACAUGGUGCCGUCAGGGGUCCCAGGCUCCACAGAAAAGAUAUUCUUGAGGGUCAAUGAAUACGGAAACAACUCAAAAUGAAAAUGGGGAUAUUUCAUGAUGCUCUUAACAGCAAGUGUGAAAAUCUGGUUGAAAUGUACCACUUACUAAGCCCAUCGCAAAUGAUGCAAAGAAGGCCCCCCCAGGCAAGAUGAGGCUGGAAAAGAAUCCCCCAGAUCAAGGAGCCACUCCAGGCAGCAGACGUCCCUGGACCUGAAGGACAUCAGGACCCCCAGUGUCAGAAGAAGGGGACAGACUGGAACCGGAGUUGAUGCAGGAGCUCAGGCUUACCUGGCAGUCUCCCUAACACACAGCGUGUCUCACGGCGAUGAAUUUUGUUCAGGAAAAGGCAACCUAACAGAUCCCUCAGAUUGAACACUUGCAAGUUGAGUAAUUACCCCGUGUAUAUAUUGACAGAUCAACAGUCUCAAACAAGCAAUGAACAAAGUUGCUACAUAUGUUCAUCUCACCACAGAUGCUUCC
Physeter macrocephalus (sperm whale) is the source of this 1503-nucleotide RNA transcript. It is a transcript of the gene named translation initiation factor IF-2-like, with no coding region annotated. Lineage: Eukaryota; Metazoa; Chordata; Mammalia; Artiodactyla; Physeteridae. The transcript has 4 exons. The record is from RefSeq and is a predicted model, not a curated record.